RNAcentral lists this ribosomal RNA (253 nucleotides) under uncultured bacterium. Its description in RNAcentral is "partial 16S ribosomal RNA". It matches the Rfam family "Bacterial small subunit ribosomal RNA", at positions 524 to 776 of the family's 1533-position model. The record is from RNAcentral.
UACAGAGGUCUCAAGCGUUGUUCGGAUUCAUUGGGCGUAAAGGGUGCGUAGGUGGUGAUGCGAGUCUGGUGUGAAAUCUCGGAGCUCAACUCCGAAAUUGCACCGGAUACUGCGUGACUCGAGGACUGUAGAGGAGAUCGGAAUUCACGGUGUAGCAGUGAAAUGCGUAGAUAUCGUGAGGAAGACCAGUUGCGAAGGCGAAUCUCUGGGCAGUUCCUGACACUGAGGCACGAAGGCCAGGGGAGCAAACGGG